GACGAACGCUGGCGGCGUGCUUAACACAUGCAAGUCGAACGGAAAGGCCCUGCUUUUGUGGGGUGCUCGAGUGGCGAACGGGUGAGUAACACGUGAGUAACCUGCCCUUGACUUUGGGAUAACUUCAGGAAACUGGGGCUAAUACCGGAUAGGAGCUCCUGCUGCAUGGUGGGGGUUGGAAAGUUUCGGCGGUUGGGGUUGGACUCGCGGCUUAUCAGCUUGUUGGUGGGGUAGUGGCUUACCAAGGCUUUGACGGGUAGCCGGCCUGAGAGGGUGACCGGCCACAUUGGGACUGAGGUACGGCCCAGACUCCUACGGGAGGCAGCAGUGGGGAAUAUUGCACAAUGGGCGGAAGCCUGAUGCAGCAACGCCGCGUGCGGGAUGACGGCCUUCGGGUUGUAAACCGCUUUCGCCUGUGACGAAGCGUGAGUGACGGUAAUGGGUAAAGAAGCACCGGCUAACUACGUG
This 468-nucleotide ribosomal RNA is filed under the name uncultured bacterium. RNAcentral describes it as "partial 16S ribosomal RNA". It matches the Rfam family "Bacterial small subunit ribosomal RNA", at positions 28 to 507 of the family's 1533-position model. The record is from RNAcentral.